GCCUCAUACUCGGGGAUAGCCUUUCGAAAGAAAGAUUAAUAUCCGAUAGCAUAUAUUUCCCGCAUGGGUUUUAUAUUAAAGAAAUUCGGUAUGAGAUGGGGAUGCGUUCCAUUAGUUUGUUGGGGGGGUAACGGCCCACCAAGACUACGAUGGAUAGGGGUUCUGAGAGGAAGGUCCCCCACAUUGGAACUGAGACACAGUCCAAACUCCUACGGGAGGCAGCAGUGAGGAAUAUUGGUCAAUGGACGCGAGUCUGAACCAGCCAAGUAGCGUGAAGGAUGACUGCCCUAUGGGUUGUAAACUUCUUUUAUAUGGGAAUAAAGUUGUCCACGUGUGGAUUUUUGUAUGUACCAUAUGAAUAAGGAUCGGCUAACUCCGUGCCAGCAGCCGCGGUAAUACGGAGGAUCCGAGCGUUAUCCGGAUUUAUUGGGUUUAAAGGGAGCGUAGGCGGAUUGUUAAGUCAGUUGUGAAAGUUUGCGGCUCAACCGUAAAAUUGCAGUUGAUACUGGCAGUCUUGAGUGCAGUAGAGGUGGGCGGAAUUC
RNAcentral lists this ribosomal RNA (542 nucleotides) under uncultured Bacteroidales bacterium. RNAcentral describes it as "bacterial SSU rRNA". It matches the Rfam family "Bacterial small subunit ribosomal RNA", at positions 128 to 669 of the family's 1533-position model. The record is from RNAcentral. Lineage: Bacteria; Pseudomonadati; Bacteroidota; Bacteroidia; Bacteroidales.